This 447-nucleotide long non-coding RNA is filed under the name Rattus norvegicus (Norway rat). RNAcentral describes it as "long non-coding RNA NONRATT010733". The record is from RNAcentral. Lineage: Eukaryota; Metazoa; Chordata; Mammalia; Rodentia; Muridae.
ACCCAGGGUAUCAUCAGUCUAAUUAUGGUGGGCAACCAGGACCUGCAGCCCCUGCUACUCCCUAUGGAGCCUACAAUGGCCCAGUGCCAGGCUAUCAGCAGGCACCUCCUCAAGAUGAUCCAAGUUCAAUUUCCAGGACCCACACGGCAGCUCAAAGCAUCCAUAACUCCAGUUUCCAGGGAUCCAAUGCCCUCUUCUGACCUCUGCAGGCACUAGUCAUCCAUGUGAGCAGAACAUGCUCACACAGGAUGUAAAAUGUCUAGUAAAGGGCUGGAGAGAUGGCUCAGCGGUUAAGAGCACUGACUGCUUUUCCAGAGGUCCUGAGUUCAAUUCCCAGCAACCACAUGGUGGCUCACAACCAUCUGUAAUGGGAUCUGAUGCCCCCCCCUUCUGGUGUAUUCAAAGACAGCUAUAAUGUACUCAUAUACAUUAAAUAAAUAAAUCUUU